This 213-nucleotide unclassified non-coding RNA is filed under the name Hevea brasiliensis (rubber tree). Lineage: Eukaryota; Viridiplantae; Streptophyta; Magnoliopsida; Malpighiales; Euphorbiaceae. The record is from RNAcentral.
CUCACAUUUAAAAUCUGGAAGCCUGUAUAUCAAAUGUCAUCAAGUAUCAACUGCUUGUUACAAUUUUAUUUAAUUCAACGGGCUCUUGCUUCGCCUCUUCAAUAUUGCUUGCUCUUCGUCUGGUUCGGUUCUUAACCUUAUCAACCCAGCCUACAAUUUUUUGUUCGACAUGCUCUUCAAAUAUAGCCCUCUUGAAGUUACUCCCCAUCUGGG